Non-coding RNA from Mesocricetus auratus (golden hamster), 71 nucleotides. The record is from Rfam. NCBI's taxonomy places the organism in Eukaryota, Metazoa, Chordata, Mammalia, Rodentia, Cricetidae.
GGAGAGAUGGCUCAGUGGUUACGAGCACUGACUUCUCUUUCAGAGGACCUGGGUUCAAUUCCCAGCAUCCA